GACGAACGCUGGCGGCAUGCCUAACACAUGCAAGUCGAACGUGAUCCGGGGCUUCGGCUCCGGUGAAAGUGGCGGACGGGUGAGUAACGCGUGGGAACCUGCCCAGUGGUAGGGGAUAACCGCGGGAAACUGCGGCUAAUACCCUAUGCGCCCUAUGGGGCAAAGAUUUAUCGCCAUUGGAGGGGCCCGCGUCGGAUUAGGUAGUUGGUGAGGUAACGGCUCACCAAGCCUUCGAUCCGUAGCUGGCUGAGAGGAUGAUCAGCCACACUGGGACUGAGACACGGCCCAGACUCCUACGGGAGGCAGCAGUGGGGAGUAUUGGACAAUGGGGCAACCCUGAUCCAGCAAUGCCGCGUGAGUGAUGAAGGCCUUAGGGUUGUAAAGCUCUUUCGGCGGGAAGAUGAUGACGGUACCCGCAGAAGAAGCCCCGGCUAACUUCGUGCCAGCAGCCGCCGUAA
RNAcentral lists this ribosomal RNA (458 nucleotides) under uncultured bacterium. RNAcentral describes it as "bacterial SSU rRNA". It matches the Rfam family "Bacterial small subunit ribosomal RNA", at positions 28 to 523 of the family's 1533-position model. The record is from RNAcentral.